This 498-nucleotide ribosomal RNA is filed under the name uncultured bacterium. RNAcentral describes it as "partial 16S ribosomal RNA". It matches the Rfam family "Bacterial small subunit ribosomal RNA", at positions 28 to 507 of the family's 1533-position model. The record is from RNAcentral.
GACGAACGCUGGCGGCGUGCCUAAUACAUGCAAGUCGAGCGGACGAAUCGAAAGCUUGCUUUUGAUUCGUUAGCGGCGGACGGGUGAGUAACACGUGGGCAACCUGCCCUGUAGACGGGGAUAACACCGAGAAAUCGGUGCUAAUACCGGAUAACACGAAAUGUCGCAUGACGUUUCGUUGAAAGACGGCGCAAGCUGUCGCUACAGGAUGGGCCCGCGGCGCAUUAGCUAGUUGGUGAGGUAACGGCUCACCAAGGCGACGAUGCGUAGCCGACCUGAGAGGGUGAUCGGCCACACUGGGACUGAGACACGGCCCAGACUCCUACGGGAGGUAGCAGUAGGGAAUCUUCCGCAAUGGACGAAAGUCUGACGGAGCAACGCCGCGUGAGCGAAGAAGGCCUUCGGGUCGUAAAGCUCUGUUGUUAGGGAAGAACAAGUAACGCAGUAACUGGCGUUACCGUGACGGUACCUAACGAGAAAGCCACGGCUAACUACGUG